This 247-nucleotide ribosomal RNA is filed under the name uncultured bacterium. Its description in RNAcentral is "partial 16S ribosomal RNA". It matches the Rfam family "Bacterial small subunit ribosomal RNA", at positions 523 to 769 of the family's 1533-position model. The record is from RNAcentral.
AUACGUAGGGUGCGAGCGUUAAUCGGAAUUACUGGGCGUAAAGCGUGCGCAGGCGGAUUGUUAAGCAAGACGUGAAAUCCCCGGGCUUAACCUGGGAAUGGCGUUUUGAACCGGCAGUCUAGAGUGUGUCAGAGGGGGGUAGAAUUCCACGUGUAGCAGUGAAAUGCGUAGAGAUGUGGAGGAAUACCAAUGGCGAAGGCAGCCCCCUGGGAUAACACUGACGCUCAUGUACGAAAGCGUGGGUAGC